This is a long non-coding RNA of Gossypium arboreum, 557 nucleotides long. RefSeq lists it as uncharacterized. The record is from RefSeq and is a predicted model, not a curated record. Lineage: Eukaryota; Viridiplantae; Streptophyta; Magnoliopsida; Malvales; Malvaceae. The transcript has 2 exons.
CGAUUUUUUAAUAAAAAAAAAACCUAAAAUUUUCUCUGAAAGAGAGAGAGAAAGGAGAGAAGCUCCGGGCUCUGGCCUCUGUAGGCCUCGCCCUGGUCGUAGGCUUCACGCGCCGCCCUAAGGACCACCGCGCACGGUGUCUAGGGUUUGAAAAACCAUUCCCUUCCUUCGCCAAUCGUCAGAUCUCGGUGAUGGAAGGUUGCUAGCGUUGAUGGAGGCCUGAAGUCUAGUGGUGACAGAGAUGAGAAAUUACAGCGUGCUUGGUGGCGACGAUCGGGCUGUUGAAUCUGUGAGAUGAAAGGUCACAUCGUUUGGAGUGCCCAAAACUUCUAGAAACUCCUUGCGGCGCUGUGUUCUCAGGAAACCCUAGGGUUUCCUUGUCUGUUUUUACUGUUUUGGGCCUUUGGGGCCACUUUAGUCUAGGGUCUGUUAUUUAGGCUUAGGUGUAACCUGGUUUGGUUUAAUUUGGGCUACGAGUGUAUUUUGGGCUGCUGGGGUUUAAUUCUUUUGGACUCUGUAUAUGGAAUUUUAAAAUAGAUAAAUACUUAUUUAUUUAA